AGAGACUUAGGAUAACCUUUAGACCAAAAGCCUUCAAAGCUUUAAGUAGGAGUGAGAGUCUCCUAGCCUCUG
RNAcentral lists this transfer RNA (72 nucleotides) under Chrysichthys nigrodigitatus. RNAcentral's name for it is "tRNA-Trp". It matches the Rfam family "tRNA". From Rfam's summary of the family: Transfer RNA (tRNA) molecules are approximately 80 nucleotides in length. Their secondary structure includes four short double-helical elements and three loops (D, anti-codon, and T loops). Further hydrogen bonds mediate the characteristic L-shaped molecular structure. tRNAs have two regions of fundamental functional importance: the anti-codon, which is responsible for specific mRNA codon recognition, and the 3' end, to which the tRNAs corresponding amino acid is attached (by aminoacyl-tRNA synthetases). tRNAs cope with the degeneracy of the genetic code in two manners: having more than one tRNA (with a specific anti-codon) for a particular amino acid; and 'wobble' base-pairing, i.e. permitting non-standard base-pairing at the 3rd anti-codon position. The record is from RNAcentral. Lineage: Eukaryota; Metazoa; Chordata; Actinopteri; Siluriformes; Claroteidae.